Molecule: unclassified non-coding RNA, 280 nt
Filed under: Glomus sp.
Lineage: Eukaryota; Fungi; Glomeromycota; Glomeromycetes; Glomerales; Glomeraceae
Description: partial contains 5.8S ribosomal RNA and internal transcribed spacer 2
Source: RNAcentral
GUGAAUCAUCAAAUUUUUGAACGCAAAUUGCACUAUCCUCGGAGAGAAUGCCUGUUUGAGGGUGAGCCUAUAAAGAAUCGACAUCGUUGUGGUUUCGCGGUGACGUUUGUGGGAUAUUGGGUCAUCUUAAAUACUUUUGGUUUUAAGCGACUUAAAAUUUUCUUUUUGGUUACAUGAACGUUUCUAAGAUUUAUUUCUUUACACGUUAAAGGGUAUCGAUUUUUAUUAGACGUGACCAUCAUAUCGGAUCGCGUUCAUAGUCGUUCAUUAACUGACCUAU